This 468-nucleotide ribosomal RNA is filed under the name uncultured bacterium. RNAcentral's name for it is "partial 16S ribosomal RNA". It matches the Rfam family "Bacterial small subunit ribosomal RNA", at positions 28 to 507 of the family's 1533-position model. The record is from RNAcentral.
GACGAACGCUGGCGGCGUGCUUAACACAUGCAAGUCGAACGGAAAGGCCCUGCUUUUGUUGGUUGCUCGAGUGGCGCACGGGUGAGUAACACGUGAGUAACCUGCCCUUGACUUUGUGAUAACUUCAGGAAACUGGGGCUAAUACCGGAUAGGAUCUCCUGCUGCAUGGUGGGGGUUGGAAAGUUUCGGCGGUUGUGGAUGGACUCGCGGCUUAUCAGCUUGUUGGUGGGGUAGUGGCUUACCAAGGGUUUGACGGGUAGCCGGCCUGAGAGGGUUACCGGGCACAUUGGGACUGAGAGACGGCCCAGAAGGCUACGGGAGGCAGCAGGGGGGAAUAUGGCACAACGGGCGGAAGCCUGAGGCAGCAACGCCGCGUGCGGGAUGACGGCCUUCGGGGUGUAAACCGCUUUCGACUGUGACGAAGCGUGAGUGACGGUAAUGGGUAAAGAAGCACCGGCUAACUACGUG